Molecule: long non-coding RNA, 504 nt
Organism: Hyla sarda
Lineage: Eukaryota; Metazoa; Chordata; Amphibia; Anura; Hylidae
Exons: 3
Source: RefSeq, a predicted model, not a curated record
GCUGAGUUGUCUCUGGGGGAACAUCACCUUUCAAUUGUGUUUCUAUAUAUUUCUAUAGAUAUAGGUCUUUGAAACUUUGGGAUACAGCAAAAUAAAAGCAUCUUUCCUAGCCUUUGCAGAGAAAUUUUAAUGGAAGUAAUGACACCCCCUGCGAAGAACAGAAGAACUUCAGUGGUCAUGUAAGACCUCAAGACUGCUGGAAUCCUAGAAUCCUAUUUAUUCUUCUGUAGGAGGCACAAGAUUUUUUAUAAUACAUCUUUCCAAUUGAAACAAAUCAAGAGACUUGUGGUCUGGUGGAGAUACAGGUGUGGACCUGCAGAGGACAGGCCGGCUGACAGAUCCGCCAUGAAGCGUGCAUUUCCAGUAGGCCUCUUGUGCUUGUUAGAUCCUCCAGGUACAGUAUGACGGACAUCUCGAAUCUCGAGGAUGUGUUACCACAGAUGAGCCGGCAAGAAAUAAGACGCCAUGAUCUCUAAGGUGUCAUCAAAGCGUCAAGGAAUCAAA